UGAAAAACAAUUAAACAUGAUACAAACAUUUAACAGUAAUGAUAUAACUGAAGCUUUUAUGAACUAGACCAACAGAUCGUGGAGAUAUGAAGGGCACAAAUAGAGUUUACAACACUGGAAGCAUUAAAAUGUUACAUGAAAUUCAACUCAACUCAACAAAUUCUUUUUAUCCCAAGCUAGUUAUUUCAACCGACCCUGCAUUUCAAAAUUUCAAUACAAGAUAAGUCCAAAUCAGAUUCAACUGGUUUUACAAAUUUUCUUAUUAACUAAACUUUAAAAUAUAACUAGACAUACGGAUUAAGGGGAUCAAUAACAUUUGUUUUUAAUUUUAGAAGUACAUUUGUGUAUCUAGGGAAGUGAAAGACAUAAUGAUCUCACUACUCACUCUGAACUUAUG
This 397-nucleotide long non-coding RNA is filed under the name Panax ginseng (ginseng). Its description in RNAcentral is "long non-coding RNA (PGIN_LNC008435)". Lineage: Eukaryota; Viridiplantae; Streptophyta; Magnoliopsida; Apiales; Araliaceae. The record is from RNAcentral.